Molecule: ribosomal RNA, 274 nt
Filed under: uncultured bacterium
Lineage: Bacteria
Description: partial 16S ribosomal RNA
Rfam family: Bacterial small subunit ribosomal RNA
Source: RNAcentral
AUACGGAGGGGGCUAGCGUUGUUCGGAAUUACUGGGCGUAAAGCGCACGUAGGCGGAUUAAAAAGUUAGAGGUGAAAUCCCAGGGCUUAACCCUGGAACUGCCUCCAAAACUAACAGUCUAGAGUUCGAGAGAGGUGAGUGGAAUUCCAAGUGUAGAGGUGAAAUUCGUAGAUAUUUGGAGGAACACCAGUGGCGAAGGCGGCUCACUGGCUCGAUACUGACGCUGAGGUGCGAAAGCGUGGGGAGCAAACAGGAUUAGAUACCCCGGUAGUCC